RNAcentral lists this ribosomal RNA (256 nucleotides) under uncultured bacterium. RNAcentral's name for it is "partial 16S ribosomal RNA". It matches the Rfam family "Bacterial small subunit ribosomal RNA", at positions 524 to 776 of the family's 1533-position model. The record is from RNAcentral.
GACGUAGGUGGCGAACGUUAUCCGGAAUUAUUGGGCGUAAAGGGUGCGUAGAUGGCCUGACAAGUUAGCAGUGGGAAAUCGAGGCUCAACCUCGUGGAAGCUGGUAAUACUGUCUGGCUCGAGUGCAGGAGAGGUUAACGGAACUCCAUGUGGAGCGGUAAAAUGCGUAGAUAUAUGGAAGAACACCAAUAACGGCGAAGGCAGUUAACUAUUCUGCUACUGACAUUGAGGCACGAAAGCGUGGGGAGCAAAAAGG